GAAAUGCGAUACUUGGUGUGAAUUGCAGAAUCCCGUGAACCAUCGAAUCUUUGAACGCACAUUGCGCCCCUUGGUAUUCCGAGGGGCAUGCCUGUUCGAGCGUCAUUACACCACUCAAGCUAUGCUUGGUAUUGGGCGUCGUCCUUAGUUGGGCGCGCCUUAAAGACCUCGGCGAGGCCACUCCGGCUUUAGGCGUAGUAGAAUUUAUUCGAACGUCUGUCAAAGGAGAGGAACUCUGCCGACUGAAACCUUUAUUUUUCUAGGUUGACCUCGGAUCAGGUAGGGAUACCCGCUGAACUUAA
RNAcentral lists this unclassified non-coding RNA (302 nucleotides) under uncultured Saccotheciaceae. RNAcentral describes it as "sequence contains ITS1". The stretch from base 1 to 105 matches the Rfam family "5.8S ribosomal RNA", at positions 50 to 154 of the family's 154-position model. Lineage: Eukaryota; Fungi; Ascomycota; Dothideomycetes; Dothideales; Saccotheciaceae. The record is from RNAcentral.